UGGUUUAAUUCGAUGAUACGCGAGGAACCUUACCUGGGUCUCAAAAUGUAUGUUGACGUAUUCUGAAAGGGAUACUUCUUCGGACAAUAUACAAGGUGCUGCAUGGUUGUCGUCAGCUCGUGCCGUGAGGUGUCGGGUUAAGUCCCAUAACGAGCGCAACCCCUAUCAUUAGUUGCCAUCAGGUCAAGCUGGGGACUCUAAUGAAACUGCCUACGCAAGUAGUGAGGAAGUGGGGAUGACGUCAAAUCAGCACGGCCCUUACGUCCAGGGCUACACACGUGCUACAAUGGCCGGUACAAAGGGUUGCCAAGCCGCGAGGUGGAGCUAAUCCCAUAAAACCGAUCGUAGUCCGGAUCGCAGUCUGCAACUCGACUGCGUGAAGUCGGAAUCGCUAGUAAUCGUGAAUCAGAAUGUCACGGUGAAUACGUUCCCGGGCCUU
This 439-nucleotide ribosomal RNA is filed under the name uncultured Pseudomonas sp. RNAcentral's name for it is "bacterial SSU rRNA". It matches the Rfam family "Bacterial small subunit ribosomal RNA", at positions 942 to 1382 of the family's 1533-position model. Lineage: Bacteria; Pseudomonadati; Pseudomonadota; Gammaproteobacteria; Pseudomonadales; Pseudomonadaceae. The record is from RNAcentral.